GCGGACAUGGUGGAAUUGGUAGACACAUCAGACUUAAAAUCUGAAGGAGAUUAUCUCCGUCCCGGUUCGAGUCCGGGUGUCCGCA
RNAcentral lists this transfer RNA (85 nucleotides) under Rhodobiaceae bacterium. RNAcentral's name for it is "tRNA-Leu". It matches the Rfam family "tRNA". Rfam says of the family: Transfer RNA (tRNA) molecules are approximately 80 nucleotides in length. The record is from RNAcentral. Lineage: Bacteria; Pseudomonadati; Pseudomonadota; Alphaproteobacteria; Hyphomicrobiales; Rhodobiaceae.